CACAGCCGCGGUAAUACGUAGGGUGCGAGCGUUAAUCGGAAUUACUGGGCGUAAAGCGUGCGCAGGCGGUUCGUUAAGACAGAUGUGAAAUCCCCGGGCUUAACCUGGGAACUGCAUUUGUGACUGGCGAGCUAGAGUAUGGCAGAGGGGGGUAGAAUUCCACGUGUAGCAGUGAAAUGCGUAGAGAUGUGGAGGAAUACCGAUGGCGAAGGCAGCCCCCUGGGCCAAUACUGACGCUCAUGCACGAAAGCGUGGGGAGCAAACAGGAUUAGAUACCCCCGUAGUCCCUGUCUCUUAUACA
This 301-nucleotide ribosomal RNA is filed under the name uncultured bacterium. RNAcentral's name for it is "partial 16S ribosomal RNA". It matches the Rfam family "Bacterial small subunit ribosomal RNA", at positions 510 to 808 of the family's 1533-position model. The record is from RNAcentral.